UGGGGAAUAUUGGACAAUGGGCGCAAGCCUGAUCCAGCCAUGCCGCGUGAGUGAUGAAGGCCCUAGGGUUGUAGAGCUCUUUCACCGGUGAAGAUAAUGACGGUAACCGGAGAAGAAGCCCCGGCUAACUUCGUGCCAGCAGCCGCGGUAAUACGAAGGGGGCUAGCGUUGUUCGGAUUUGCUGGGCGUAAAGCGCACGUAGGCGGACUUUUAAGUCAGGGGUGAAAUCCCGGGGCUCAACCCCGGAACUGCCUUUGAUACUGGAAGUCUUGAGUAUGGUAGAGGUGAGUGGAAUUCCGAGUGUAGAGGUGAAAUUCGUAGAUAUUCGGAGGAACACCAGUGGCGAAGGCGGCUCACUGGACCAUUACUGACGCUGAGGUGCGAAAGCGUGGGGAGCAAACAGG
This 404-nucleotide ribosomal RNA is filed under the name Actinomycetes bacterium. RNAcentral describes it as "Actinobacteria bacterium partial 16S ribosomal RNA". It matches the Rfam family "Bacterial small subunit ribosomal RNA", at positions 355 to 776 of the family's 1533-position model. The record is from RNAcentral. Lineage: Bacteria; Bacillati; Actinomycetota; Actinomycetes.